GGUUUCUUGGCGCAGUUGGUUAGCGCGUCUCCUUAACAAUUCUGAUCCUCAGAUCGUUAGGGCUUACGGAGGAGGUCGCCGGUUCGAACCCGGCAGAAAUCA
This 102-nucleotide transfer RNA is filed under the name Melanopsichium pennsylvanicum. Its description in RNAcentral is "transfer RNA-Val(AAC)". It matches the Rfam family "tRNA". From Rfam's summary of the family: Transfer RNA (tRNA) molecules are approximately 80 nucleotides in length. Their secondary structure includes four short double-helical elements and three loops (D, anti-codon, and T loops). Further hydrogen bonds mediate the characteristic L-shaped molecular structure. tRNAs have two regions of fundamental functional importance: the anti-codon, which is responsible for specific mRNA codon recognition, and the 3' end, to which the tRNAs corresponding amino acid is attached (by aminoacyl-tRNA synthetases). tRNAs cope with the degeneracy of the genetic code in two manners: having more than one tRNA (with a specific anti-codon) for a particular amino acid; and 'wobble' base-pairing, i.e. permitting non-standard base-pairing at the 3rd anti-codon position. Lineage: Eukaryota; Fungi; Basidiomycota; Ustilaginomycetes; Ustilaginales. The record is from RNAcentral.